UCCAGAAACAGACUAGAAGGAAUGAAAAAGAGGGAGCCAGACUCUCCUCCAUAAUGCCCACUGACAGGACAAGAGGCAAUGGGCACAAACUGAAACACACAAAAUCUCAUCUGAACACAAGAUAACACUUUGUCACUCUCAGAGUAGUCAAACACUGGAACAGGUUGCUCAGAGAGGUUGUGAAGUCUCCACCUGCAGAGACAUUCAAAACGUGACUGGAUAUGGUCUUGGGCAACCUGCUUUAUCUAACCAUGCCUGA
Aquila chrysaetos chrysaetos is the source of this 259-nucleotide long non-coding RNA. RefSeq lists it as uncharacterized. The transcript has 3 exons. Lineage: Eukaryota; Metazoa; Chordata; Aves; Accipitriformes; Accipitridae. The record is from RefSeq and is a predicted model, not a curated record.